GGAGCCACUAAUGUACAACCAAAUAAUGCUCAACCCAAGAAUGUACAGCCCAAUAAUUGGCGUCCAUGGUGGACGCGUAUUAUUGGGCUGUACAUUCCUGGGUUGAGCAUUCUCGGUCCGCGCAAGAUUGGUCCGGGGCGAUAAUACGAAGCCACUCUUUUCACAGGGCAAUAAUGUACGACCCCAUAAUUCGCGUCCACUAAUUUGAGUCCCUUGGCUUUCAAUUAUUGGGCUGCGCAUUAUUGGUACAGGUCGAGAAAGCCCGACCCAAUAAUGUACGACCCAAUAAUUGGAAGCCAAAAACCAGAGACAUUCUUUUUUUUAAGGGAGCUGUCAAAAUUAGUAGGGACGUUCUGACAUUAGCUCUUGACAAUUUAAAAAUAAUCGGUUUUUUCUAGUGCCAUCUUUCAGUGACAUUGACAGUAUUGACACUUGUUGGUUUACAAAUACAAUAAAUGAAUCCUAAUAAAAGAAACAGUAGACUCAGUAGAGGUACGAGGUACUGAAAAAAUAUUAAUUAAUGGAGAAGCCGAAGUUGGAGGAAAACAAGAAGAUUCGAGGAGAAUGGUGUGGCACUUAAUGCCGCCGGGACAGUAACCUAGCUGCAGCUCCAACUCUAGGGAAUUGCGCUGAAUGAACGCAACACGUGAUCGACAGCCCACCUGCUUCCUGCCGAGCGUCCCUACACUACCUCUACAUGGAUGCCUCGCUUAUUCUGCUCUACAAAACUUCUGAGCUGAUACAAGCAGCCAGAAUGAGUCUAUGCUGAGUCGCCGGCGCCGGACGUGCGUCUGUAGUCUUCGUGUGAGUCGCCAAUUGCAGGGGAAGAUACGAAUAGUUAGGU
This is a long non-coding RNA of Cydia splendana, 844 nucleotides long. RefSeq lists it as uncharacterized. Lineage: Eukaryota; Metazoa; Arthropoda; Insecta; Lepidoptera; Tortricidae. The record is from RefSeq and is a predicted model, not a curated record. The transcript has 3 exons.